UACGUAGGGUGCAAGCGUUGUCCGGAAUUAUUGGGCGUAAAGAGCUCGUAGGCGGUCUGUCGCGUCGGCUGUGAAAACCCGAGGCUCAACCUCGGGCCUGCAGUCGAUACGGGCAAACUAGAGUACUGCAGGGGAGACUGGAAUUCCUGGUGUAGCGGUGAAAUGCGUAGAUAUCGGGAGGAACACCAGAGGCGAAGGCGGGUUACUGGGCUGAUACUGACGCUGAUGCGCGAAAGCUAGGGGAGCAAACGGG
This 253-nucleotide ribosomal RNA is filed under the name uncultured bacterium. RNAcentral describes it as "partial 16S ribosomal RNA". It matches the Rfam family "Bacterial small subunit ribosomal RNA", at positions 524 to 776 of the family's 1533-position model. The record is from RNAcentral.